Molecule: ribosomal RNA, 324 nt
Filed under: uncultured bacterium
Lineage: Bacteria
Description: bacterial SSU rRNA
Rfam family: Bacterial small subunit ribosomal RNA
Source: RNAcentral
AUUGAACGCUGGCGGCGUGCCUAACACAUGCAAGUCGAGCGGUAACAGGUGUAGCAAUACAUGCUGACGAGCGGCGAACGGGUGAGUAAUGCUUCGGAAUCUGCCCAUGUAGUGGGGAAUAACCAGCCGAAAGGUUGGCUAAUACCGCAUACGACCUACGGGUGAAAGCAGGGGAUCGCAAGACCUUGCGCUAUUGGAUGAGCCGAAGUCGGAUUAGCAGUUGGUAGGGUAACGGCCUACCAAGGCGACGAUCCGUAGCUGGUCUGAGAGGACGACCAGCCACACUGGGACUGAGACACGGCCCAGACUCCUACGGGAGGCAGC